GCAAAAAUUCCGCUACGAUUCCGGUUGUGGAAGUUGCUCAUCUUCGGCGAUGGUGGGGCUGUAUCCGCGUCUAUUGAGGUGCUGUGGCGCAGCUACUUGUUCGGGUUGUGGUUAGUGUGGAGCUCCAAAGUGUGGCGGAGAGAGCGACCAUGCGGCGAAUCAGUGGAAUUCUUAGUUUUUCCUGCUGAUCUUGGUGAAGUUGGCAUUUGGGCUCUGUCGACGGUGCUUGUGAGCACCUAAUGCGGUGGUUUGCGCUCUAUUUCUAUUAUAUGUGCCUCUAAUCUGAUUGCAGUCAUUAUCAACUUCUCUUGUUAGUUUGUGGUGGUCAAGAUCAAAUCAGUGUCUGGGAAGAAGAAAAAAAAAGGGACACUUGUGAUGUUUUUCCGUACAUAUGUGCUGCUGCUAACGUAGUAUUAGUUGAUUGUGGCGGUCGAGGGUAUUGGCCGUGUUUGGCCGGAGGUUCCUGCUUCUCCCAUUGGACUCUUGCGGCAGCGUGGAACAAGUUGCGUGACAAUUAUCUAGUGGUGGAGAUGUUGCAUGCAAAGAGCUGUGCUAUGCUAUUGGCAAAGAAGUGAUGAGCUGUAAUUAGCGAGUGGUAGUGUGAAUCUUCAUGGUGCGGAUUAGAAUGUGUGACCAAUGGCGCUUUGCAAGACGUUGCGGUGAUGGAGUUGUUCUCCUUUAUCGUUAGUUCUUGCAACGACAGUGUCGUCAUGGUUGUUAUAAUUAUUUAUUUAUUUUUUGUGCUCUCCUUCUAGUUAUUGUUGCCACGUGAAUGCUGGAAUGUAACCUUAUUCGGUGCGUAGAGAGGGAUCUCAUUAGGAAGACUGUAGCCAGCUCAAUCAUACUCGUCAUUCUUUGUCAAUGAUGGUGGAGUGAGGGUGCAUAGCGAUCGACAUUCCUAUUCUUGUCAACAAAUCAAGUACAAGUUUUACUUGAUGUUGUGCGUUCUUGAAACUUCAAAAACUUGUAAUCGACGCCUCUUGCAGAUCAUUAAUAUCCACUUUGUUCAGAAUCUAGAGCUUGGCUUGAA
Long non-coding RNA from Physcomitrium patens, 1030 nucleotides. RefSeq lists it as uncharacterized. Lineage: Eukaryota; Viridiplantae; Streptophyta; Bryopsida; Funariales; Funariaceae. The record is from RefSeq and is a predicted model, not a curated record.